Molecule: ribosomal RNA, 253 nt
Filed under: uncultured prokaryote
Description: partial 16S ribosomal RNA
Rfam family: Bacterial small subunit ribosomal RNA
Source: RNAcentral
ACGGAGGGUGCGAGCGUUGUCCGGAAUCAUUGGGCGUAAAGGGCGCGUAGGCGGCCCGGGAAGUCGGUGGUGAAAGCGCGGGGCUCAACUCCGCGUCGGCCAGCGAGACUCCUGGGCUGGAGCACUGUAGAGGCUGGCGGAAUUCCGGGUGUAGCGGUGGAAUGCGUAGAGAUCCGGAAGAACACCGGUGGCGAAGGCGGCCUGCUGGGCAGUAGCUGACGCUGAGGCGCGACAGCGUGGGGAGCAAACAGGA